Amphiprion ocellaris (clown anemonefish) is the source of this 623-nucleotide long non-coding RNA. The record is from Ensembl. Lineage: Eukaryota; Metazoa; Chordata; Actinopteri; Pomacentridae.
CAACAACAAACCAGAAUUAGCUGCAGCUGGUCAUCAAGGAUCCCAACAUGAACAGACGACUACAAUCAGUCACUUCCACAGUAUUGGAUCCAUUCACUGUCACUCAACCCCUCAGCCAAUCACCGGCAGUCUCUCUCCCACCUGGAAUCCACCCCUGUUCCUUUGUUUGAAGUACAUCCAGAUUCAGUCAUUCACACACAGCGACUUGAACAGCAGGAUCAGCUCACACCAUUCAUCACUGGAAACCCGUUCACUUUUCACAAUCCUGGAAACCUGGAAACCACAGCAUCAAAGAAAACCUUCAACUCCACAACCAUCCUCUUGGACUUCUGGAUUCCACCAACAGAAACCAAACAUUUUGCUGAACAUUGGUUAGGCUUCAAUGGAUGAUUUGAAUUGAUGGCGAGCUACCCUCCAAAGAACUGGAACAGUAUGAAAAGAUUCAGCCCUUCACCCACCCCACUCAUUGGCAGGCCUCAAGCCUUACAGCUUCAUCCCUUCCCCAAUGCUGUGGUAGGACUUGUUUAGAUUCAUUUCACCUUGUUUGGACUUGUUCAACUUGUUUUAUGGAUUAAUUACUUUGAUUAACACCCCAUUGGCAACAGUGGAACCACAUUCACCUG